UACGUAGGCAGCAAACGUUGUUCGGAAUUACUGGGCGUAAAGAGUGUGUAGGCGGUUUUGUAAGUUUGGUGGGAAAUCUCCCGGCUUAACUGGGAGGGUGCGCCGAAAACUGCAAGGCUUGAGUGCUGGAGAGGAGAGCGGAAUUCCUGGUGUAGCGGUGAAAUGCGUAGAUAUCAGGAGGAACACCGGCGGUGUAGACGGCUCUCUGGACAGUAACUGACGCUGAGACACGAAAGCGUGGGGAGCAAACAGG
This 253-nucleotide ribosomal RNA is filed under the name uncultured bacterium. RNAcentral's name for it is "partial 16S ribosomal RNA". It matches the Rfam family "Bacterial small subunit ribosomal RNA", at positions 524 to 776 of the family's 1533-position model. The record is from RNAcentral.